This 429-nucleotide ribosomal RNA is filed under the name Chloroflexota bacterium. RNAcentral describes it as "Chloroflexi bacterium partial 16S ribosomal RNA". It matches the Rfam family "Bacterial small subunit ribosomal RNA", at positions 355 to 776 of the family's 1533-position model. Lineage: Bacteria; Bacillati; Chloroflexota. The record is from RNAcentral.
UGGGGAAUAUUGCACAAUGGGCGCAAGCCUGAUGCAGCCAUGCCGCGUGUAUGAAGAAGGCCUUCGGGUUGUAAAGUACUUUCAGUCGGGAGGAAGGCGAUAAGGUUAAUAACCUCAUCGAUUGACGUUACCCGCAGAAGAAGCACCGGCUAACUCCGUGCCAGCAGCCGCGGUAAUACGGAGGGUGCAAGCGUUAAUCGGAAUUACUGGGCGUAAAGCGCACGCAGGCGGUCUGUCAAGUCGGAUGUGAAAUCCCCGGGCUCAACCUGGGAACUGCAUUCGAAACUGGCAGGCUAGAGUCUUGUAGAGGGGGGUAGAAUUCCAGGUGUAGCGAUGAAAUGCGUAGAGAUCUGGAGGAAUACCGGUGGCGAAGGCGGCCCCCUGGACAAAGACUGACGCUCAGGUGCGAAAGCGUGGGGAGCAAACAGG